AGAGCGAACGCUGGCGGCAGGCCUAACACAUGCAAGUCGAGCGCCCGUAGCAAUACGGGAGCGGCAGACGGGAUAGUAACACGUGGGAACGCGCCCUUCGGUUCGGAAUAACUCAGGGAAACUUGAGCUAAUACCGAAUACGCCCUUACGGGGAAAGAUUUAUUGCCGAAGGAACGGCCCGCGUCCGAUUAGCUAGUUGGUGAGGUAAUGGCUCACCAAGGCUACGAUCGGUAGCUGGUCUGAGAGGAUGACCAGCAUCACUGGGACUGAGACACGGCCCAGACUCCUACGGGAGGCAGCAGUGGGGAAUAUUGGACAAUGGGCGCAAGCCUGAUCCAGCCAUGCCGCGUGGAUGAUGAAGGCCUUAGGGUUGUAAAGUCCUUUUAACGGGAAGAUAAUGACGGUACCGUAGAAUAAGCCCCGGCUAACUUCGUGCCAGCAGCCGC
Molecule: ribosomal RNA, 446 nt
Filed under: uncultured bacterium
Lineage: Bacteria
Description: SSU rRNA
Rfam family: Bacterial small subunit ribosomal RNA
Source: RNAcentral